UAGUUUAAGAGAUAAAAAAGAUUUUUCAAAACACAGAUUGUAGUAAGUGCUAAAAUGAGGUGAGAUCAAAGUGUGUGGUAGAGGGAUCAAUUUUUUAAAAGGGAAGAUUGGUAUAGACUUCAUAGAGAAGAUAGUAUUUGAGAGAAGGGAGAUAAGUGAAGGUCUGUUUAUAGGCUCUGUGUGGCGGCUCUGUGGAUACCGUGUCCGAUAACAUUUGGCUUCCCAGAGCUCACAUAGAGCUACUGGGCAGAGUCAUACAGGGAAGUGCUAGAGCUGAAUUGGAAUUCAGGUAUGUAUGACUUAUGCCACUCCCUGAGGUAGGCCUUCACCUAUCUUAGAUUUUCCACAAGAGAAUAUACUGGAGGAGGGGAAAUAGUGGGUAAGGAUUUUCCGGGUGGAAGGACUAGUGUUCCUAAAAAUAAAUAUAAGUAGAGAAGUUUUCCAGGGACCCAAGAGCAAUCCAGGGUGGCUAGAAUGUAGGGAUUUUGAACGAGCAUUCAGGAGACAUUUGACGUCUAUGUGGCAUAGUAAAAUCAUGGAAAACUUCAAAGGCUGUAUUAAGGAGUUUAGACAUUGUUCCAUUUUACUUCAGGGGCUUUUGAAAAGUUCUUUGAGGUGGGGAGCAAAUCAGUCAGACCUGAGCCAUAGUGUGUGUCUUGAGAUCGCCCCUUGUUUCCCAUACCUUUCUUCUUAAAACUUUCCUAAUUAGGCACGCAGGAACCAACUGUGACCUUCUAUUUCACUUUCACCUAAAUAGUGACCAGCCCCUGUGCUUGACGAUGCUAUAGGAUAAAUAGGAAGGAAAAAAACUUUUAAAUGGUUCUUAGGUGAUUCGGGAUGUGAUAAAUGUGCACAUGGAAGAACUCAGUCAUAAUUGGCAAGAAGAGCAGGAAAAAGCACAGGAUGAUGCUGAAAAGAGAUGAGAAAGGCGAUCAGCUUCAGUAGAUUCUCGGCAGUCUGGUGGAAGCUAUUUUGAUGCUGAGUGUUCACAGCAUAGAAGGGAUCGGAGUAGGAGCCCACAUAAACGAAAAAGAAAUAAAGAUAAAGAUAAAAAUUAGGAAUCAAGAAGGAGGAAAGAGAGGGAUGGGGAAAGACAUCAUAGUCAUAAAAGAAGAAAGCAAAAAGUAUAAAUUAAGUAUUCAUGCAUGUGUUAAUUAUGCUAAUGGCAAGAUAACUAAUAUGCUGAUAUUUUCAUUGUAAUUGCUUUGACUAGGGGAAAAUGUUUAUAUGAUCUGUUUAGUGCUCAGAUCACUAUUUUUCAGUAAGUGUUUAUGUCUCAAACCAUAAGCACUAUAACUUUGUUUCCCAUAUAUUUUAAUAGAUGACAGCUUCCUGUUA
Long non-coding RNA from Pipistrellus kuhlii (Kuhl's pipistrelle), 1338 nucleotides. RefSeq lists it as uncharacterized. NCBI's taxonomy places the organism in Eukaryota, Metazoa, Chordata, Mammalia, Chiroptera, Vespertilionidae. The record is from RefSeq and is a predicted model, not a curated record. The transcript has 4 exons.